CCAUAGUAAUGGCGAAUGAACCGGGAUAAACUCAGCAUGGAAAUUGGGGCCUUUGGCUUUGACUUGUAAUCUGGUGAGGCAUUGCCAACAGAGGCGCAUAUGUAAGUCUCUUGGAAAAGAGCAUCAACGAAGGUGAGAGUCCUGAUUGUCAUGUGCAGCCCCCCUGUGCACGGUGUGCCUUCUAAGAGUCACGUUCCUUGGGAUUGGAGCGCAAAUUGGGUGGUAACUUUCAUCUGAAGKUAAACAAUGGUUUGGGACCGAUAGGAAACAAGUACCAUGAGGGAAAGGUGAAAAGGACUUUGGAAAGAGAGUUGAAAGUGCCUGAAAUUGCUGAAGGGGAAGCGAAUGGAA
This 351-nucleotide ribosomal RNA is filed under the name Dinophysis acuminata. RNAcentral describes it as "eukaryotic LSU rRNA". It matches the Rfam family "Eukaryotic large subunit ribosomal RNA", at positions 78 to 428 of the family's 3401-position model. The record is from RNAcentral. Lineage: Eukaryota; Dinophyceae; Dinophysales; Dinophysaceae.